Long non-coding RNA from Prosopis cineraria, 933 nucleotides. RefSeq lists it as uncharacterized. Lineage: Eukaryota; Viridiplantae; Streptophyta; Magnoliopsida; Fabales; Fabaceae. The transcript is spliced from 2 exons. The record is from RefSeq and is a predicted model, not a curated record.
UGUCAACACCAACGUCAACCCAAUCUACUAUGCUCAUACAGAGGCAAGAUCUACCGAAGCCUCCAGAUCUGAAAAACAUGGGGUAGAAACAGGGGAUGUUGACAUGGCAAAGUGAAGAGAAGAGAGCUACUAUGAUGCAGCAGGGCAACUCGAUGACACCCAUUAGGAAAGGGUCGCGAACGUAGUAAUGUUUGCUCUUCCUUUUCCUUUUAUAUGUUUCUUUAUGAUUUUAUCAUCAUGGAACUAUCGGGGCGCCGGAGCUUGCAGGACUGGAUCACCAGAUUGGAGGUAGCUCUUUUCGAAAUUGGCCUUGGAUUAAAGUCUUUGGAAAUGUAUGCUGGCUGUUAUGGACAAAUAGAUGCAAAUUCAUCUUUGAAGGCACCAAUCACACCUCUGAAGAGAUCAUCAAGAUGUGUAGAAGAAGGCUAAUGGAAGAAAGAGAUCUUGAACAUCUAAAGAUUCAUAGGCCUAUGAUGGAUGCUGCUCAACCUUCCAUUUGGGUGGCCCCAACACAAGGUACUAUACGAAUAGAUGUAGAUGCUUCAUUGUAUCAACAGAGUAGUGCAGCAUGCGCCCGAAAUUCUACAGGAGAUUGGUUGAAAGGUUUUAUGAGUAAUUUGGGAAAUUUGCCAAUUACUAUAUCUGAAGUCUAUUCUAUUAAGAAUGGGCUAAGGCUUUGUUCCAGUCUUAAUAUUGAGAAAGCUGUGAUAUAUUCUGAUUCCUUAGAGGCAAUUAAUCUGAUUUACAGGGGUGUUAACACUGGCCAUCCCUUUGUUGAAGCUAUCUAUGAAAUACAGGAAGCCAUAUGCUCUCAUGAUAAUUAUAGAAUCUUAUAUACUCCUAGGGACAACUUGUGCAGAUUUCUUAGCCAAAAUGGCUCAUGAUUGUCCCAAUGACUUUUCUUUGCUUAAUGUAGCUCCCUUUGGAUGUGAA